AGUAACGCGUAAAGAACUUAGCCCUUUAGACUGGGAGUAACAGAGGGAAACUUCUGAUAAUAACUGGAUAAGUUAGUAUAUCGCAUGAUAUGCAAAUGAAAGCUACGGCACUAAAGGAGAGCUUUGCGUCCUAUUAGCUAGUUGGUAAGGUAAGAGCUUACCAAGGCGAUGAUAGGUAGCCGGCCUGAGAGGGUGGACGGCCACAAGGGGACUGAGAUACGGCCCUUACUCCUACGGGAGGCAGCAGCU
This 249-nucleotide ribosomal RNA is filed under the name uncultured Leptotrichia sp. RNAcentral's name for it is "partial 16S ribosomal RNA". It matches the Rfam family "Bacterial small subunit ribosomal RNA", at positions 109 to 355 of the family's 1533-position model. The record is from RNAcentral. Lineage: Bacteria; Fusobacteriati; Fusobacteriota; Fusobacteriia; Fusobacteriales; Leptotrichiaceae.